GAUGAACGCUAGCGGCAGGCUUAACACAUGCAAGUCGAGGGGUAUAGGUUUUCGGACCUAGAGACCGGCGCACGGGUGCGUAACGCGUAUGCAAUCUACCUUUUGCAGAGGGAUAGCCCAGAGAAAUUUGGAUUAAUACCUCAUAGUAUAACACAAUCGCAUGAUUGAGUUAUUAAAGUCACAACGGCAAAAGAUGAGCAUGCGUCCCAUUAGCUAGAUGGUAAGGUAACGGCUUACCAUGGCUACGAUGGGUAGGGGUCCUGAGAGGGAGAUCCCCCACACUGGUACUGAGAAACGGACCAGACUCCUACGGGAGGCAGCAGUGAGGAAUAUUGGUCAAUGGACGCAAGUCUGAACCAGCCAUGCCGCGUGCAGGAUGACGGUCCUAUGGAUUGUAAACUGCUUUUGUACAGGAAGAAACACUCCUUCGUGAAGGAACUUGACGGUACUGUAAGGAUAAGGAUCGGCUAACUCCGUGCCAGCCGCCGCGGUAA
RNAcentral lists this ribosomal RNA (494 nucleotides) under uncultured bacterium. Its description in RNAcentral is "partial 16S ribosomal RNA". It matches the Rfam family "Bacterial small subunit ribosomal RNA", at positions 28 to 523 of the family's 1533-position model. The record is from RNAcentral.